This 775-nucleotide ribosomal RNA is filed under the name uncultured Neocallimastigales. Its description in RNAcentral is "partial large subunit ribosomal RNA". It matches the Rfam family "Eukaryotic large subunit ribosomal RNA", at positions 23 to 634 of the family's 3401-position model. The record is from RNAcentral. Lineage: Eukaryota; Fungi; Neocallimastigomycota; Neocallimastigomycetes; Neocallimastigales.
AGAGAGAGACAUGCGCGCAUAUCAAUAAGCGGAGGAAAAGAAACUAACUAGGGAUUCCCUCAGUAACGGCGAGUGAAGCGGGAAGAGCUCAAAUUUGAAAUCUUCAAGGUUCUACCUUUACGAAUUGUAGUUUAAAGAAGUGUUUUCUGUUGAGGUUUUGGUAAAAGUUCUUUGGAAUAGGACAUCAUAGAGGGUGAGAAUCCCGUAUUUGACCUUUACUUUCAACUUUGUGAUACACUUUCAAAGAGUCGGAUUGUUUGGGAAUGCAGUCCAAAAUGGGUGGUAAAUUUCAUCUAAAGCUAAAUAUUGGCGAGAGACCGAUAGCGAACAAGUACCGUGAGGGAAAGAUGAAAAGAACUUUGAAAAGAGAGUUAAACAGUACGUGAAAUUGUCAAAAGGGAAGCGUUUGACACCAGUGUUGUUCUCUCGAAAAUCAAUUAAAAAGAGUUAGGAUUUUGUUGUGUAUUGACCUUAUCAGCUCUGCAUUCAUUUUCUUGUCUUUUUUAAUGCACUUUUCGUUUAACAAGUCAACAUCAAUUUCUUUUGUUGUAAAAGGGUCAUUGGAAGGUGGCUUUCUUUUCGGAGAAAGUGUUUAUAGCCUUUGGCCUCUGCAAUCGGAGAGAUUGAGGUCUGCAGCGUAGAUCCUUCGGGGUUAGAUACAUUUGUGCUAAGUUAUAGCCUUUCAUAGACAACUUGUUGACUAUGAUCAGUCAUGUAGCUUACUCGCUUAUGCUAUUUUACCUACGCUUAGGAUGUUGAUGUGAUACUGCGAGCA